Molecule: ribosomal RNA, 497 nt
Filed under: uncultured bacterium
Lineage: Bacteria
Description: partial 16S ribosomal RNA
Rfam family: Bacterial small subunit ribosomal RNA
Source: RNAcentral
GAUGAACGCUGGCGGCGUGCCUAAUACAUGCAAGUCGAGCGAACAGACGCGGAGCUUGCUCCUCUCACGUUAGCGGCGGACGGGUGAGUAACACGUGGAUCACCUACCUAUAAGACUGGUAUAACUUCGGGAAACCGGAGCUUAUCCCGGAUAAUCUCUUGAACCGCAUGGUUCAAUAGUGAAAGUCGGUUGUUGUGUCUCUUCUCGCGGGAUCUCCGCCGGAUGAUCGAGUAGUGAAGGUACCGGCGUUUCAAGGCGACGAUGCGUAACCGACCGAAGAGGAUGAUCAGCCACACUGGAACUGAGACACGGUACAGACUCCUGCGGGAGGCAGCCAGAGGGAAACUUGCGGAAGGGGCGGAAGCCUGACGGAGCAACGCCGAGUGAGUGAUGAAGGUCUUCGGAUCGUAAAACUCUGUUAUUAGGGAAGAACAAAUGUGUAAGUAACUAUGCACGUCUGGACGGUAACUAAGCAGAAAGCCACGGCUAACUACGUG